UGAGGAAUAUUGGUCAAUGGGCGAGAGCCUGAACCAGCCAAGUAGCGUGAAGGAUGAAGGUCCUACGGAUUGUAAACUUCUUUUAUACGGGAAUAAAGUUUCCUACGUGUAGGAUUUUGUAUGUACCGUAUGAAUAAGCAUCGGCUAACUCCGUGCCAGCAGCCGCGGUAAUACGGAGGAUGCGAGCGUUAUCCGGAUUUAUUGGGUUUAAAGGGAGCGCAGACGGGAGAUUAAGUCAGUUGUGAAAGUUUGCGGCUCAACCGUAAAAUUGCAGUUGAUACUGGUUUCCUUGAGUGCAGUUGAGGCAGGCGGAAUUCGUGGUGUAGCGGUGAAAUGCUUAGAUAUCACGAAGAACCCCGAUUGCGAAGGCAGCUUGCUAAACUGUAACUGACGUUCAUGCUCGAAAGUGUGGGUAUCAAACA
RNAcentral lists this ribosomal RNA (422 nucleotides) under uncultured bacterium. Its description in RNAcentral is "bacterial SSU rRNA". It matches the Rfam family "Bacterial small subunit ribosomal RNA", at positions 355 to 774 of the family's 1533-position model. The record is from RNAcentral.